CCUACGGGCGGCAGCAGUGGGGAAUAUUGGGCAAUGGGCGCAAGCCUGACCCAGCAACGCCGCGUGAAGGAAGAAGGCCCUCGGGUUGUAAACUUCUUUUAUCAGGGACGAAGCAAGUGACGGUACCUGAUGAAUAAGCCACGGCUAACUACGUGCCAGCAGCCGCGGUAAUACGUAGGUGGCAAGCGUUAUCCGGAUUUACUGGGUGUAAAGGGCGUGUAGGCGGGAAAGCAAGUCAGAUGUGAAAACCAUGGGCUCAACCUGUGGCCUGCAUUUGAAACUGUUGUUCUUGAGUGCGGGAGAGGCAGACGGAAUUCCUAGUGUAGCGGUGAAAUGCGUAGAUAUUAGGAGGAACACCAGUGGCGAAGGCGGUCUGCUGGACAGCAACUGACGCUGAGGCGCGAAAGCGUGGGGAGCAAACAGGAUUAGAUACCCGUGUAGUC
This 443-nucleotide ribosomal RNA is filed under the name uncultured bacterium. RNAcentral's name for it is "partial 16S ribosomal RNA". It matches the Rfam family "Bacterial small subunit ribosomal RNA", at positions 338 to 795 of the family's 1533-position model. The record is from RNAcentral.